AUUUCCGUGUGCAAGUUUUAAUUAACUAUAGUCUACGUGAUGUUCUAUGGUGCAAGAGAUUCUGCGAGAUUCUGCAUCGUUCAAAGAAGCAAUGUGAUUAGCAGUAUAUAGGAAUUAUUUUUGGUUUAGGAGAAUGUGCUGGGCACAAACUUAAACAUAACGAUAGACAAUGUACUAAAUUAAUCUUUUACGAUCUUUUAAGAAUUAUUUCAACCUAAAAUACGAUUGAAUCUAUCAAAUAUUAAAGUUCUAAAUUUCAACUCCUUCUCAUAAUCAUUGCCAAAAAAUAUUAUUGCAACAUUUUAGCUUUUAGUUAGAAGGUAAACAAGGUGGAUGGAGUAAAAGUUCUUACAAGAACGUUACCUUGUAAUUUAUAAGAUUUAAUCUUGUUACUUGUUUGCCUUGGGUGAACGUGCUUAACUAACCUGGCAACAAGAGUUUUUGAAUCAAGCAAAUUACCUUCCCUAGUUUGUUUAGUCCCUAGUUUAGUUAGUUGUCCAUAGAUGAGUACUCGUUUACAAUUGCGGGAUUCAGUUCAGUACACGCCAGUUCAUUUGGAACCUCUACAAGAAUAUGUAAUAGACUACGACAAGUAUAGAAAGACAGAAAACGUAAAGAAAAUGGUGAAAACAUUCGUCAAAGGAUUAUCUUUCAGCCAGUUUCCUCUUAGGCUGAUUGAAUCCUUUGCAACCAGAGCCAAAGGACAUAAUCAACUGGAGGAACUUACGCUACACAACAAUUCAGCUACACAACAGUAACCUUGAAUAACUUGUGUGGUUCAGGUAAUAUCAGGUGUGGGGAUCGAACCCACGUCUCUAUGUAGAGACCAGAACUUAAGUCUGGCGCCUUAACCACUCGGCCAACCUGAUUGUGUUAGUAGGUAAUGACCCCUAAAAGUUAUGAAAAUUUAGCAAGACGUAAAGUUGAUUUUGGGUUACUAAGGGCUACACGGACGCUGCUAAAGUUUAACCUAAAUUGGGAUUCCGUUAGUCUAUGAACGCAUGCAAACUAUGGAAUAUGGAAAUGGUGUUGAAGACGUUUACAGCUAUUCAUAACGAAUGUUGACUGUGUGACGUCUGGCCGUGGUAAAGACUUUUGUGUAUCGUGCUAGAUAUUGGAGGUUGAAUAUACGAUGCAACCUUAUAACGCAUAACUGGCUGAAUCUUGUUCAUGUUAAAGAAGCGUGUGGGCUGCUAGGCUGGUCACAAGACUUAUUUCGUCACACAAUCAACCACCAUAACUUCAUAGAAGCAUUGUCAUCCAUGCCAUUCAGUUUGGUGUGCUGUUUGAGCCUACGAAGAAAUUGCUCCAAAAUUUGAACGCUACGAUCAUCUUUCGGUAUUC
Molecule: transfer RNA, 1344 nt
Filed under: Daphnia magna
Lineage: Eukaryota; Metazoa; Arthropoda; Branchiopoda; Diplostraca; Daphniidae
Description: uncharacterized LOC116915562, transcript variant X1
Source: RNAcentral